CUUUUAAAAAGCGGACCAUAUGCUUAAUUAUUUUAAUGUUACCACUUCAGCAAAAUGUUAAGUGUUGAAAAGACCAGCUUCUAUGGCAACUUGGGCCCAGUUAUGCCAUUAUUUGGAAUCGUAGACAGAAGCAGCUUUGGAUCCUCCCAUUUGUCGUGUGACAGGGACAGACCGCUGUCCUCAUCUUGCUGGUGGGAAACCCUCCUCUACUCUGGUGGGAAACCCUCCUCUACUCUGGUGUGCAGCAGGCAGAGCCCUUUCCUCCUCUCUGCUUAGCUUAUUUUAGGUUGUGGUACUUCAUAUCAGCAUUGAGAGAAGGUACACGUGUAUUCUUAUCACUGGUUCUGAGGAGUUUGGGUACAUUUGUUUUAAUAUGUGUAGACUGUGCAGUAAACAUUUUCUUUUUUUUUAAGCAAAAUUACUUAUCAUUUAUCAUUUUAGGUCCAGUGUUGAGCUGACAGAUCUACUGUGAGAAUGAACUGACAGAUCUACUGUGAGAAUAACAUAACGAUAGUUUAUAUGAAAACUUUUAUACACAGUGGGGUUUACACAUUAGGGUAAAUAUAUAAAUCCGCACUUGCAUGCACAUGUCACAUCUCUCUAGUGUGGAGUUAAUGUGAAUUUUUACAUUUUGAAUGGAAUUGCAACCACAAUCAUUGCUAAAAGAACAUUCACUCCUCGUGAGGGUUUACAAAAGCCACUAAAAGAAUAAGGUAGACAGAUGAAAAUGCAAAG
This 735-nucleotide long non-coding RNA is filed under the name Bos taurus (domestic cattle). RNAcentral's name for it is "long non-coding RNA NONBTAT022625". Lineage: Eukaryota; Metazoa; Chordata; Mammalia; Artiodactyla; Bovidae. The record is from RNAcentral.